UACGUAGGGUGCAAGCGUUAAUCGGAAUUACUGGGCGUAAAGUGUGCGCAGGCGGCAGAGCAAGUCGAGUGUGAAAGCCCCGGGCUUAACUUGGGAAUUGCGCUCGAAACUACUUUGCUGGAGUGUGGCAGAGGAAGGUGGAAUUCCACGUGUAGCGGUGAAAUGCGCAGAUAUCAGGAGGAACACCCGUAGCGAAGGCGGCACUCUGGGCCGAUUCUGACACUGAGGAGCGAAAGCGUGGGGAGCGAACAGG
RNAcentral lists this ribosomal RNA (253 nucleotides) under uncultured bacterium. RNAcentral describes it as "partial 16S ribosomal RNA". It matches the Rfam family "Bacterial small subunit ribosomal RNA", at positions 524 to 776 of the family's 1533-position model. The record is from RNAcentral.